UGCGUAGGGAGCAAGCGUUAUCCGGAUUUACUGGGUGUAAAGGGCGUGUAGGCGGGCCUGCAAGUCAGAAGUGAAAUCUGGGGGCUUAACCCCCAAACUGCUUUUGAAACUGUGGAUCUUGAGUGAUGGAGAGGCAGGCGGAAUUCCCAGUGUAGCGGUGAAAUGCGUAGAUAUUGGGAGGAACACCAGUGGCGAAGGCGGCCUGCUGGACAUUAACUGACGCUGAGGCGCGAAAGCGUGGGGAGCAAACAGG
This 253-nucleotide ribosomal RNA is filed under the name uncultured bacterium. RNAcentral describes it as "partial 16S ribosomal RNA". It matches the Rfam family "Bacterial small subunit ribosomal RNA", at positions 524 to 776 of the family's 1533-position model. The record is from RNAcentral.